This is a long non-coding RNA of Symphalangus syndactylus (siamang), 222 nucleotides long. RefSeq lists it as uncharacterized. The record is from RefSeq and is a predicted model, not a curated record. NCBI's taxonomy places the organism in Eukaryota, Metazoa, Chordata, Mammalia, Primates, Hylobatidae.
GGCAGCAUCCAUCCAACCACCUAUGUCAGCAUCACCUUCGGCACUUCUUCAAACACAGAUUUGAAGGUCCAGUCAACAAAUAUCCACCACUAACUAUAUGGCCUUAGGCAAGCUUGUUUGAAUUCCUGUGUGUCCAGAUGAAGAUGACAACACUGGCAACAUCUACUAGAGGCCUCAAAAUCAGCCAGUGGUGAGAGAUGGAGACUCUCUCCUUUCCUGAGC